AAUAGUGAAAGACUGGUUAAUGA
Molecule: non-coding RNA, 23 nt
Filed under: Cricetulus griseus (Chinese hamster)
Lineage: Eukaryota; Metazoa; Chordata; Mammalia; Rodentia; Cricetidae
Source: RNAcentral